Small nuclear RNA from Cyprinodon variegatus (sheepshead minnow), 129 nucleotides. NCBI's taxonomy places the organism in Eukaryota, Metazoa, Chordata, Actinopteri, Cyprinodontiformes, Cyprinodontidae. The record is from Ensembl.
ACCUUCCUUGUCUCGGGGUGGUUCGGGAAUCUCAAUGAACGUAUAGUGAGAGUUUCCCUGCUAACACCGAAUCAACACAUUCGCAUCACCUGAACGAUUCAGUUCGGGAACGGUGCAAUUUUUGGAACA